RNAcentral lists this long non-coding RNA (2218 nucleotides) under Podarcis lilfordi (Lilford's wall lizard). Lineage: Eukaryota; Metazoa; Chordata; Lepidosauria; Squamata; Lacertidae. The record is from RNAcentral.
UGAGGUUUGAGUUCAUCUGCUGAUUUUAUUUAUAUUUUUGAUACAAACAAUUAUGUUCACGUGUUUGAUUUUAUUGGUUUUUUUUUAAAAAAAAAUAUUUUAGAUUGUUCUUUGAAAACCACUUAGAGGUUUUUUUGUUGAGUAAGUUGUAUAUACAUUUUGUUAAAUGAAGAAAUAAGUAAAUUGAAUCACCUUAUACUCAAAAUUUAAUCUCUGGUGCAGAAUGAAGUCUCAAGGGAGUAGUCCAACGUCUACUAAACUCCCUACAGGAAAGACCCACCUAAACCCAACACUUUUUUUUCCCAGAAGAGAAUGAAAAUUUUCCUAUUUUGGUAAGCUUUUGCAUGAAGGGUAGCAUUAACUUUCUCAUUGCCAAGGUGAGAGUUUACAAUGUGGAUAUAUGGUGGUUUUUAAGGUUGCUACAUUUUAUUGUAAGCUGAACAAUAUAACACAACACGAUGGCCAAUAACAAUGACACUAAACACUAUUUAUAGACUAAUACAAAUGAUCAGAAUUUACAACCAAAGUCUCUAAAUCUUGACCAAUCACUGUAGAAUAAUUCAAAAGUUCGAUAUAUACAUAAUCUGUCACCAAAUAUCGCCUGGACAGAGUUUCCGAAUAACCAUCUGUUUCAUUCAAUGCUUCAUCAGCCAAUAUUGAUCAAUUCUCCAUCAGCCAGACUUGUAAGAAUUAAUAUGAGAAGGAUGCAGUUCAGUUUCUUAACAAGCCAAUCUUACAUGUAAGCAAAUAUAAACACUGUAGAAAAUAUGCUCUGGAUCAGUGCUCAUAUGAUACUGUAGUCACUGAUGAACUCUGUUCCAGCAAUAUUUGGUGGCAGAUUAUGUAUAUAUCGAACUUUUGAAUUAUUCUGCUGUGAGUGGUGAAGAAGAUUUAGAGACUUUGGUUGAAAUUUCUGAUCAUUUGUAUUAGUCUAUAAAUAGUGCUUAGUGCCGUUGUUAUUUACCAUCGUGUGGUGUUAUAUUGUUCAGCUUGUCUAUAUUGCAACACAGGGGUUCGUUUACAGAUUACAUUUUAUUGUAAGUCAUUUUGGGUUUUCUCUCUUUUAAAAAGAAAAAUAGGUUACAUUUUUAGAAAUAAAUGAAACAGGGCUUUUGAAUUAGAGACUCAAGUUAGAUUUGCAUGACUUAUAUUUCCUCCACAGCAGUCUUUUUUUUCUUUUUUUUUAAUUCAAGAAGUGCUACAACAAAAAAUGGAAUGAUGACUAUUAUUACUAUAGGCAUAGACCCAGAUCAGGGGAAGCAAGGAUGGCGGAAUCAACAGAAUUUAACUGAAGCAAAUCCCAUUCCAUUUGUAAUCUGUAUUUUAUUAUUUUGAUAUGAGGGGGAAGAAAGGAAUGAACUCCAAAAAAGGAAGUUGACCACUUGGGGAGGAGGGGGUGGAGGAGGCAGAACCAGAGAAAAAUAUAAAAUAAAAUAAAAAACAGCUGUUUGGCUUAGGGGAAGAAAAAGUCUUCCCCAGUGACAAAUUUAAAAUCAGAAGGAAAUUGCAUCCAAAGAGAUGGCCAAGUUGAUUGUCUCAGAACUUACAUAAAAUAGUUUGGCAUCAAAGGAGAAGGAAAAGGAAUGUCUCCAAAAUCCAGGAAGCCACAAGGAACCUUCCAGAAACAGAACAAGAAUGAGAGGGAUGUAUAAUGCAGUCCUUUAAGGAGGGGGAAAAACACCCAAGUUUCAAUACAUUUAUUUUUUUAAGCUGCAUUAUUUGUGCAUCUGAUCUGCUGUAUAUCAGCAACAUAUAUUUACUGAUCUGCAGGAAAACAUUAAAGCCAUACGUCCUGUAGCACCAACUGGACCAUUCCCAAUAGCGUUUCAAGAUGGAUUGGGAGGAAGAGCAAAAAUGGAGCCAUGUGUGAAUCUGCUUCUGCCAUAAGAGGAGAACACAUUCUUGGCUUGCUCAGACACCUUCCUGCAGUGUACACAGACUUCAAGUUUUGCAGCACUGAUGGAAUAAACAGGGGAUGUACAAGACUGAAGACCAAUAUCUCAAACUCAGGAACUGAAUGGAAUCCCGUCGCCGGACCCAGUUUUAUAAUAAAACCCAGGCACCCUCUUCUCUACAGUUGGGAAUGGCUGACCUGCUCAUUCCUGUGCUACAUCAGCCAUCACCAUUGCUGCAGUUGACAAGAGGGUGUACUAUAGUAUUCAAUCCAUCAGUCAUCACGUGACCUGAGGAGCCAAUAAUAUCCCAUCCGACCUUACAG